GAUGAACGCUGGCGGCGUGCCUAAUACAUGCAAGUCGAGCGAACGGACGAGAAGCUUGCUUCUCUGAUGUUAGCGGCGGACGGGUGAGUAACACGUGGAUAACCUACCUAUAAGACUGGGAUAACUUCGGGAAACCGGAGCUAAUACCGGAUAAUAUUUUGAACCGCAUGGUUCAAAAGUGAAAGACGGUCUUGCUGUCACUUAUAGAUGGAUCCGCGCUGCAUUAGCUAGUUGGUAAGGUAACGGCUUACCAAGGCAACGAUGCAUAGCCGACCUGAGAGGGUGAGCGGGCACACUGGAACUGAGACACGGUCCAGACUCCUACGGGAGGCAGCAGUAGGGAAUCUUCCGCAAUGGGCGAAAGCCUGACGGAGGAACGCCGCGUGAGUGAAGAAGGUCUUCGGAUCGUAAAACUCUGUUAUUAGGGAAGAACAUAUGUGUAAGUAACUGUGCACAUCUUGACGGUACCUAAUCAGAAAGCCACGGCUAACUACGUG
This 497-nucleotide ribosomal RNA is filed under the name uncultured bacterium. Its description in RNAcentral is "partial 16S ribosomal RNA". It matches the Rfam family "Bacterial small subunit ribosomal RNA", at positions 28 to 507 of the family's 1533-position model. The record is from RNAcentral.